AUUGAACGCUGGCGGCAUGCCUUACACAUGCAAGUCGAACGGCAGCACGGGUGCCUGCACCUGGUGGCGAGUGGCGAACGGGUGAGUAAUACAUCGGAACGUACCUUAUCGUGGGGGAUAACGCAGCGAAAGCUGUGCUAAUACCGCAUACGCCCUGAGGGGGAAAGCGGGGGAUCGAAAGACCUCGCGCGAUUAGAGCGGCCGAUGCCUGAUUAGCUUGUUGGUGGGGUAAAAGCCCACCAAGGCGACGAUCAGUAGCUGGUCUGAGAGGACGAUCAGCCACACUGGGACUAAGACACGGCCCAGACUCCUACGGGAGGCAGCAGUGGGGAAUUUUGGACAAUGGGGGCAACCCUGAUCCAGCAAUGCCGCGUGAGUGAAGAAGGCCUUCGGGUUGUAAGGCUCUUUUGUCAGGGAAGAAACACCGGCUCUAACACAGUCCGGGAAUGACGGUACCUGAAGAAUAAGCACCGGCUAACUACGUGCCAGCAGCCGCGGUAA
This 501-nucleotide ribosomal RNA is filed under the name uncultured bacterium. Its description in RNAcentral is "partial 16S ribosomal RNA". It matches the Rfam family "Bacterial small subunit ribosomal RNA", at positions 29 to 523 of the family's 1533-position model. The record is from RNAcentral.